GCCCAAAUCAGGCCGUCUGGUCACCCUAUCCCAGUGGGGCCCACGGGUGGGCAGGCAACUACUCUUGAAGCCUAAGAGGGAUCUGUGUUGGCGGCAGGUGAUUCCCUUUUCCAGAAUGUCUUUAUUCUUCUGUCACUGCGAAUGAUCAGGAAUGAAUUUAUGGUGGAGAAGGCUCUUCACGAGCAGAGGUGACUUUUCUUUCAUGUUGACUAAAAUGCUCAGCAUGAUGGUCUGCUUUCUAUAGAAGGACGUAGAGGGAGACCAAAGUGAUGACUCUCUUGGCCGCUCUGACUUCAGGCAUUGUCCUGGUGGGGCGUCUGGGCUCAUGUAGGUGCUGAACCUGCCGGUGGUGUCUGUGCAGGACAAACACCAUGUAGCUGCUGGCCAUGCUUAUGAGACCCACAAAGAACAGAUCCCGGAAAGAGAGCAUGACUGUAUUGGCCAAGGUAGUUUUUGCACUUUUGAUGACUUUGAAGCAAUAUUUGAGAUCCAAUAUGGCUCGAAUAUUGCCACUGUUGUUCUGGGGGCUUCUCGUGUAUAUCAGUACAUCCAAUUCUACGAGCAGAUUGAUGACUCAGGAGAGGGCACAGUAGGGAAGGAUGCACUUGGGCAAUUUGGCUUUGAUUCUUGCCCACCAGGAGGUGCUGGGACUGGUGGUGAUGGCCUGGAAGAUGCUCAGGAGGCAGGUGGUGCAGAUGCAAAGACACCGGGCUACUCGGUAAAGAGACCUUGGCCAGAAGGGGAUCCAGUCCAAUGCCGAGGGGCCUCUACCUCAAAGGUCCUGGGAAUGGGAAGAUGGGAGCCCUGGGAGAAGGUUCUUCAUUGGUGAUCAGCCCGAGACCCCACCCCGGAACACGAGUCUGAAGCCCCAGAGUUCCUUUGGAAAAACCCAAAAGAGCACCAACAGAAAAAGUUGUCUUUAUCCUACUCACCUAUUUCCACCAGUCAGGCUGGCUAGGAGGGCAGCUUGUGGGCAGUCAGACUCUGGCAGGACAAAGUUGAGGCAGCAUUUAUCAGUCACUUUCCUCAUCUUUCCCCUCCCUCAGAGAGUGAUUAGUAUGUUUGUGCGUGUGUGUGUGUGACUCACUGAUCAUUAAUCCACUCUGACAGGGGCCUGGAGCAUCCCUGGAAAUGCCCUGGCUCCCCUUCUUUUUAUCCUCAGUGCUGGGAGACAGUGAAUCCAGAUCUCUCCCCUAAAUUACCUGCUGCUAAUUGACCUUCAGAGGUGUCCAUAGAAAGAUGUGACAUUCCCAGUGCAAUAUUCAGCGUCCCAGGAACAUUCCAGCUCCCACCCACAUCUUUGCCAGGACCCAAGCCCCGUCUUCUGUAAUCUUAUUUCCGUGGUUCGUAUUUCCUAUCCUCUUCCAUCCAUCAACAUACCAGUAAUAUUUAUUUUGCUGGUAGUGUGUGCUGAUCACUGUACUAAGUGCUUGGAAGAGUACAGUUCAGUGGAGUUGGUAGGCAUGAUCCCUAUCCACAAGGAGUUUACAGACUAUAAAGGGAGAAAAUCAUUAAAAUAUGUGGCAAGAGGAUAUUUAUAUGUCACAUAUGACAGGGUGAAAAUCAAAGUGUUGAAGGGGUUCAGGCCCAAAUGAUAAAUAGGACAGGGUGAAUAAAAUUCGUGAGGGCAUAGUCAAGGGAGGUCUCUGGGAGAAAUUGUGGUUUUAGACUGGGUUUGAAGGUAGGGGAAGUAGUCAUCCAUUCAAUAGGAAAAGAAAUAAUAAUAAUAAUAAUAAUAAUGGUAUUUGUUAAGCCCUUACUAUGUGCCAGGCACUGUUUUAAGCCCUGGGGUAGAUACAGGGUUAUCAGGUUGUCCUAUGUGGGGCUCACAGUCUUAAUCCCCAUUUUGCAGAUGAAGUAACUGAGGCACAGAGAAGUUAAGUGACUUGCCCAAAGUAACAGCUAAGUUGUGGAGACGGGAUUUGAACCCACAACCUCUGACUCCCAAGCCUGUGCUCUUUCCACUAAGCCAUUCUGCUUCACUAAGGAAGGGAGCUCCAAAUCAAGAGGGAGGAUGUGGGCAGAAAGUUGGCAGUGAAAAAGACAAAAUUGCAGAACAGUAAAUUGGUAUUGCUGGAGCAGAGCGUACGGGCUGGGCUAUAGUGAGAGACCAGUGAGGUCAAAGGCUCUGGGAAUAGGAAAGAGGGAGCCCUGGGAGAAGGUUCUUUAGGGCUGACCAAGCCCCGACCCCCACCUCGUAGAUCAAAUCCAAAGCUCCAGAGUUCCUAUGGAAAGCCAAAAACCACACUCUCAGAGAAAGAUGAUUUUAUCCUGCUUAUCCAUUUCCAUCACUCAUGCUGGCCAGGAGGGCUGCUUGCAGGCAGUCAGACUCAGGCUGGACAAAGUUGAGGCAGCAUUUUAUCAGCCACUUUCCUCAUCUUUUCCCACCCUCGGGGAGUGAUGUAUGUUUGCUGUGUGUGUGUAUGUGAGUGUGAGAGAGAGAGAAUCACUAAUCCGCUCUAAGACUCAGACUGGGACAUCACUGGAAAUGCUCAGAAUCUGCUCCCUGCUGCCCAUCAAACUGAGACAAGAUGAGCAAGGUGUGCCCCAUAAUAACCUGCUGCUAAUUGACCCUCUGAGAUGCCCAUAGAGAGACAUGUCAACAUCAGUACCGUAUCCUGCAGCUCCGGGAAAAUCCCGGCUCUCAUCCACAACCCAGCACUGCCUGGAGCCAAGGCUAGGUCUCUUAUGAUAUCAUUUCAUUGGUUCAGACUUCCCAUCCUCUUACAUCAGUCAAUAAAUCAAUGUUAUUUACUGUGUGUUGAAUGUAUGCAGGGCACUUUAUAGAGAAUAAUAAUAAUGGUAUUUGUUAAGCACUUACUCUGUGCCAAGCGCUGGGGUAGCUGCAGGGUAAUCAGGUUGUCCCACAUGGGGUUCACAAUCCUAAUCCCCAUUUUACAGGUGAGGUAACUGAGGGAUAGAUAAGUGAAGUGACUUGCUCAAGGUCACACAGCGGACAGGUGGUGGAGCCGGGAUUAGAACCCAAGUCCUCUGAUUCCCCAGCCCGUGCUUUUACUAAUAGGCCAUGCUGCUUCUCAGAGAAUUAUAUGAUAGAAUUGGUAGGCAUGAUCUAUGCCCAUAGGGAGUUUACAGUUUAGAGGGGAAGGCAGGCAAUUAAAUAAGUAACAUAUGCCUAUGUACACAAGUGAUCUGGGAUGGGGUAAAAUACAAGGUGUUUAGGGGAUAUAGAUCCGAAUG
This 3198-nucleotide long non-coding RNA is filed under the name Ornithorhynchus anatinus (platypus). Its description in RNAcentral is "lncRNA (ENSOANG00000041315.1)". Lineage: Eukaryota; Metazoa; Chordata; Mammalia; Monotremata; Ornithorhynchidae. The record is from RNAcentral.